GACGAACGCUGGCGGCGUGCCUAAUACAUGCAAGUCGAACGCUUUUUCUUUCACCGGAGCUUGCUCCACCGAAAGAAAAAGAGUGGCGAACGGGUGAUUAACACGUGGGUAACCUGCCAAUCAGAAGGGGAUAACCUUCGAAAACGGGUGAUAAUACCGCGUAAUAUCUUCUUCCGCAUGGAAGAAGAUUGAAAGACGGCUCAGCUGUAACUUAUAGCUGACUUGACGGUGAAUUAGUUAGUUGGUGGGGUAACGGCCUACCAAGACGAGUAUGCAUAGCCGACCUGAAAGGGUGAUCGGCCACAUUGGGACUGAGACACGGCCCAAACUCCUACGGGAGGCAGCAGUAGGGAAUCUUCCGCAAUGGGCGAAAGCCUGACGGAGCAAUGCCGCGUGUGUGAAGAAGGCUUUCGGGUCGUAAAACUCUGUUAUAAGAGAAGAACAAAUUGUAGAGUAACUGCUACAGUCUUGACGGUAUCUUAUCAGAAAGCCACGGCUAACUACGUGCCAGCCGCCGCGGUAA
This 523-nucleotide ribosomal RNA is filed under the name uncultured bacterium. Its description in RNAcentral is "partial 16S ribosomal RNA". It matches the Rfam family "Bacterial small subunit ribosomal RNA", at positions 28 to 523 of the family's 1533-position model. The record is from RNAcentral.